GAUGAACGCUGACAGAAUGCUUAACACAUGCAAGUCAACUUGAAUUUGGGUUUUUAACUUAGAUUUGGGUGGCGGACGGGUGAGUAACGCGUAAAGAACUUGCCUCACAGCUAGGGACAACAUUUAGAAAUGAAUGCUAAUACCUGAUAUUAUGAUUUUAAGGCAUCUUAGAAUUAUGAAAGCUAUAAGCACUGUGAGAGAGCUUUGCGUCCCAUUAGCUAGUUGGAGAGGUAACAGCUCACCAAGGCGAUGAUGGGUAGCCGGCCUGAGAGGGUGAACGGCCACAAGGGGACUGAGACACGGCCCUUACUCCUACGGGAGGCAGCAGUGGGGAAUAUUGGACAAUGGACCGAGAGUCUGAUCCAGCAAUUCUGUGUGCACGAUGAAGUUUUUCGGAAUGUAAAGUGCUUUCAGUUGGGAAGAAAGAAAUGACGGUACCAACAGAAGAAGUGACGGCUAAAUACGUGCCAGCAGCCGCGGUAAUACGUAUGUCACGAGCGUUAUCCGGAUUUAUUGGGCGUAAAGCGCGUCUAGGUGGUUAUGUAAGUCUGAUGUGAAAAUGCAGGGCUCAACUCUGUAUUGCGUUGGAAACUGUAUAACUAGAGUACUGGAGAGGUAAGCGGAACUACAAGUGUAGAGGUGAAAUUCGUAGAUAUUUGUAGGAAUGCCGAUGGGGAAGCCAGCUUACUGGACAGAUACUGACGCUGAAGCGCGAAAGCGUGGGUAGCAAACAGG
Molecule: ribosomal RNA, 735 nt
Filed under: uncultured Fusobacterium sp.
Lineage: Bacteria; Fusobacteriati; Fusobacteriota; Fusobacteriia; Fusobacteriales; Fusobacteriaceae
Description: bacterial SSU rRNA
Rfam family: Bacterial small subunit ribosomal RNA
Source: RNAcentral